This 3898-nucleotide long non-coding RNA is filed under the name Sus scrofa (pig). RNAcentral describes it as "lncRNA (ENSSSCG00025015820.1)". Lineage: Eukaryota; Metazoa; Chordata; Mammalia; Artiodactyla; Suidae. The record is from RNAcentral.
AAGCAAGUAAGAAUAAAUUUAGUAUGUAGAUGUCCCUUUUAUUUAUUCAUUAAGGCAUCAAACAUUUAUGGAGCAAAGGUUAUGUGAAAACACCAGAGUAACCUAUGACAGGGGUGUUGACAUGACUGUCUUUGCUUUCAGAGUGCUUACAGUCUAUCGGUAGAAAUACAAUAUGUAAAUAAUAAUAUAUUAAUAUUAUAUACAAUAUUAAAGAUGCAGGUAAGCACUAGGGAAGUUCAGAAAACAUUUUCAUUCUGAACAGGGUUUUCAUUUUAAUUUUUAAAUUAAAAUCAAAAUCUUUACUAUUUUGAAAUGGUAUUUUGUUCUCCUAUAGAAACAGUUUGGAUCUGGGUUAUGCAUUAACUUGCAACUGUAAAGUAUCAGAAAUGAUCAAUCUAGGGAGAUGGAAAAAUCACAUAAAUUCUAAAGGUCUUAAAAACAAUUCUCAAAGGUAAAAUCUUGUCCUACAAUCCCUGUAUUAUGAUUUCACACCACCACUUUAUGGCAUGUAAAUCUUAGGAACUAUAAGGGAAGGUUAUAAAUUGCUUGAUCCCAUAAGAUAUCCAGAUGUCCUUGGGUAGACCUUUCUAUGACUCAGUCUCUCAACUGUAACAAAAAGGAGUUAAAUUCAAAAUCUCUACGACCCUUUCAAGGUCUAAUGUCCUGAGAUUCAAAGACUUUUUACAUAGGCCAUUUUUCAUACAACUAAUUUUCAUUCCAUGAAUAAAUGUAGUUAGGUUGCCAGUUCCACAUAAAGGGAUCAUAUAGAAGUAAUUGGAUCCCCAUGGAAAAGCAAUGCCCUAUGUAUGUCUCAUGCCUCAUAAAUAGUAUACUGUGAGCAUGUGCGGAUCCUAUGCACAGUAAUGAAAGACUUGAAAUCUCCUUAUUUAUCCCCUAACUAUUUUUUCUUAUUAGAGAUACACAGAUUCUACUCAUUUGCAGCCUGUUGACACAAAACAGAGAACAUAACCUUAUAAACAUGCCACUUCUUAGUGAAAAUGGGACUUGUAUGCAAGGACUGGGUGGGUACCAAGAUAGCAGAAUGGCCAAAUAAAUUUUAAUAAAAGGAAUUCUAAUAUGAAAUUCAUGGUUCUAUUUAUUUACAUGAUAUACUCCAGUCUCCAUCUCCACUAAAUCUUCAACAUAUCUGCCAACUUUGAGUAAGUAUUUCUGUGCCUUUUGCUGUUGGUUGUGUAUAUAUUGAAAAGGGCUAAACCUCAUAUUGAGAUGAUGAUGUAGCAAAACACAUCACAUCAAUAUAUGGAGCAGCCAGGUGUUUGAAAGAACUCUUUUAAUAACACGUACUACUUUCUUCUUUGUACUUUAUAUUAUGCAGGCUUUCUUCUCUUACACAGUUAAGUUAGUAGAAGGAGAAGGUCCAUGCCUGAUUUAUUUUAUAUCUGUCACUGUGUUUCUAACAUUGCUCUUCCUCAGAAAGUAGAUGCCCAAUAAAUAUUUCCUGCAUGAUGCAUUAGACACAGAUCUAUCUAAGCACAGGGGAAGCAAUGAAUCUUGCUGGUGAUGACCCCAUCAAAAUGCACAAUUUUCAUGAACGGGACCCUUGAGGUCUUAAUCCUUUUGGCUUUCUAUGAGAUAUUUUGAUGGCUUUGAAAUUAACUGUCUGUUUAUUUUAAGGUAUGUUUAUCAGACUUGCCUAUCAGACACUGAAGAUUUAAUUUUUAGGGCAUUUCUUCUCUUUAACUCAAAGUGAGAUAGUGACACAGAACAGAAGGACUUUGGAUGCUGGUGCAAUACUGGUGAUCCCUCCAUUAAUGAUAUCUCUUGUCUGAAUAAGCAUACAAAUAGUAGUACACUAAUUGUACAUCCCUCCCUGUUUCAAUAUAUACUCCUUCUGAUGACAGACAAGGCAUUCCUUCACUUGAAGGCAAUGGGUAUGAAAACAACUUCACCCUUAAGUUUUAUAGGUAAUGAAUUUGAAAUACACAUAUAUAAAAAUACAAAGCAAAGGCAUCAUCUAUGAUUUGUCAUGUUGGCAGAGAAAUUUUGACAUUUUUCAUGCUCAAUGUUGAUCAUAAUAUGAGGGAGGACGAAGGGGGAACAUAAUAGCACAUGUUCCACCCAAUUGGGGUUAGAAAAUAACUGAAAAUCUCCAUCAUUUUUCAGUGGACAGAAAAUAAGCAUUAUAUCUUCACUCUAUGAUUCCCCUAGAUCAUGAUAAAGCUACCCUUCUUCCCCUGAAUUAGUCAGUUUACCUGCUGUCCCCUGGGAACAACCAAUAGCUUCAUGGAGAAGAACUGCAUUUUAUUUCAUAAUUCUUAAGAUGAUGUAAUCACUGGUCAAGAAUAUUUAUAAGCAGUGAAGAAGAAAUCAGGCUUCAUAAUGAAUUAACAAAUUGUACUUGUAAUGAGAAAAGAGAAGAGAGAAUAAUACCCCUGGGAUUUUUCAUGAACAUUAAGAUCAUAAACUUUUCUCUUUCUCCCAAGUAUGGAACAACAGACUAAUGUGACUGAUGGAGAUCAGACUGAGAAUUUAAUUUGGGGAAGGUUAAGCAGACUCAUGAUGGUAAAACUCUUGACAAUUUCGUUUUGGUUAAGGGUAGUGAUCUAGAUAGAUGGCUCUUUUCUUUAGGAAAAAAAAAAAAGAUGAUGUUUCCAUAAGACAGAAAAAAACGGGAGGCAAAAUAACACGAAUAUCUUCCAAUUUUAAGAUGGUGGUUUAUUAACAUCUCUCCUUAUCUCCCAUUUCUGAUUAAGUUAAUGUUAAGAUCUCGAAAGUUAAUAUAUAUGACAAGGAACUCUGAAUGCAGUUAAGUUGGGCAGGGGUGAAAAGGACACAAAUAGAAGAUGUCCAGAACUGUGAUCCCCAAAAAAGUGGGGGGGCGGAAGAUUUCUCCAGUUAGAUGAAUGCUAUCAAGGUCCAAAACAGAAUUCUCUUAAUCAGAACAAAAACUAAGGUAAGAGGGUUGGCUACAGAGGCACCUUAAAACCUCUUUGACCCCCUCAAAGUGGCAGGACUGUAAAGACAAACCAUUAUUACAUAUUUUAAAAUGAGUAAUAGGACAUCCUGCAUCCAGAGCAGCAUGUUAAGAAGCUUGCAAAUCAUCGCUCCAUCCUAACAAGUGAAAACUGAAAAAUUAAUAACUCUUCCUAGAUCUGUAAGAGAAGUGAGGUCACCGGACAAACCACUGUCCCCCAAAUGCAGAAUGAAUAAAGAGAAUCAGAGCACCGUCUUUGGGAACCAGUAUGGGGUAGGAAACCUGAACUGUAGUUGGUGAGUUUCUGGAAGCCUAAAGUGAACAACUUUGAGAAGUAAAAACUCCAGAGGUCUCUAGUCAUUGAGGACCCCCACAUUUUUGUGAGAUUUUUACUUCUUGUAUCUCUACUAGGCUCUCACAAUGAACAGUAGGAAAAAAAUCUCAUGCUUCUAGUUGGGGAAAGGAAAAAGAAACCCUUUUGAAAUAUGCUGGAGCAUUCUGUCACUUUUUUUUGCCACAUUUGUGGCAUUGAGCAGAGAGAGGAGGAGGGAGAAGCAUGUGUGAAGUUCAGAGUCCAGAGGUAUAGGUUCCCGAAAAGACUAUAAUUUAAUCAUAUAACUAUAAAAUGCUUUUCUUCACCAUCCAUCUUACCACCAUCACAUUACUAAAGGGUUAUUUACAGUAGUUCCUUUUAGUCAGUAUAUUAUACCUGGUUAUCAAGAAAAACUAAAAAAAUAUUAAAUGGCAAAAACCACAGUUGGAAGAGAUGGAGCAAGAAGCAGAACCAGACUCAGAUGGCAGAUGUGUUAGAAUGAUCAAAUUGAGAAUUUAAAGCAACUAUGAUUAAUAUGGAAACAUCUCUAAAAAGAUAAAGUAGACAGCACACUAGACUAGAUGGGCAAUGUAAGCAGAGAGGAAAUUCUAAGAAAGAAUCAAAAAGAAAUGCUAGAGAUCAAAAAACAC